Non-coding RNA from Paramuricea clavata, 591 nucleotides. Lineage: Eukaryota; Metazoa; Cnidaria; Anthozoa; Malacalcyonacea; Plexauridae. The record is from the annotation of a GenBank genome assembly.
UAAUGAACAAAGCACCACAUAACGAACAAAGCACCACACAACGAACAAAGCACCACACAACGAACAAAGCACCACACAACGAACAAAGCACCACACAACGAACAAAGCACCACACAACGAAAUAAACACCACACAACGAACAAAGCACCACACAACGAACAAAGCACCACACAACGAACAAAGCACCACACAACGAACAAAGCACCACACAACGAAAUAAACACCACACAACGAACAAAGCACCACACAACGAACAAAGCACCACACAGCGAACUAAGCACCACACAACGAACUAAGCACCACACAACGAACUAAACACCACACAACGAACAAAGUACCACACAACGAACAAAGCACCACACAACGAACAAAGCACCACACAACGAACUAAGCAUCACAUAACGAACGAAGCACCGCAUAUAAUAGUAGAAGCACUGCAUAUAAUGAUAUAAGCACCACAUAUAAUGUCAUAAGCACCACAUAUAAAACACAAAAAAAAAGAAAAGAAAUUGAUAGAAAAUGUCAAAGCUGAUAAAACAAAGAAAAAUAAUGAUGCAGGUGCUGACAAGAAAACGACCACCGUUAUCGUGG